Molecule: ribosomal RNA, 301 nt
Filed under: uncultured bacterium
Lineage: Bacteria
Description: partial 16S ribosomal RNA
Rfam family: Bacterial small subunit ribosomal RNA
Source: RNAcentral
CAGUCGCCGCGGGAAUACGGAGGGAGCUAGCGUUGUUCGGAAUCACUGGGCGUAAAGCGCACGUAGGCGGCUAUUCAAGUCAGGGGUGAAAGCCCGGGGCUCAACCCCGGAACUGCCUUUGAAACUAGGUAGCUUGAAUCUUGGAGAGGCGAGUGGAAUUCCGAGUGUAGAGGUGAAAUUCGUAGAUAUUCGGAAGAACACCAGUGGCGAAGGCGACUCGCUGGACAAGUGUUGACGCUGAGGUGCGAAAGCGUGGGGAGCAAACAGGAUUAGAUACCCGUGUAUCCCUGUUCUUAUACAC